GAUGAACGCUGGCGGCGUGCCUAAUACAUGCAAGUCGAGCGAACAGACGAGGAGCUUGCUCCUCUGACGUUAGCGGCGGACGGGUGAGUAACACGUGGAUAACCUACCUAUAAGACUGGGAUAACUUCGGGAAACCGGAGCUAAUACCGGAUAAUAUAUUGAACCGCAUUGUUCAAUAGUGAAAGACGGUUUUGCUGUCACUUAUCGAUGGAUCCGCGCCGCAUUAGCUAGUUGGUAAGGUAACGGCUUACCAAGGCGACGAUGCGUAGCCGACCUGAGAGGGUGAUAGGCCACACUGGAACUGAGACACGGUCCAGACUCCUACGGGAGGCAGCAGUAGGGAAUCUUCCGCAAUGGGCGAAAGCCUGACGGAGCAACGCCGCGUGAGUGAUGAAGGUCUUCGGAUCGUAAAACUCUGUUAUUAGGGAAGAACAAAUGUGUAAGUAACUAUGCACGUCUUGACGGUACCUAAUCAGAAAGCCACGGCUAACUACGUG
Molecule: ribosomal RNA, 497 nt
Filed under: uncultured bacterium
Lineage: Bacteria
Description: partial 16S ribosomal RNA
Rfam family: Bacterial small subunit ribosomal RNA
Source: RNAcentral